UCCGUUGUAGUCUAGUUGGUUAGGAUACUCGGCUCUCACCGAGAGACCCGGGUUCAAUUCCGGCAACGGAA
This is a transfer RNA of Ipomoea nil (Japanese morning glory), 71 nucleotides long. It matches the Rfam family "tRNA". From Rfam's summary of the family: Transfer RNA (tRNA) molecules are approximately 80 nucleotides in length. Their secondary structure includes four short double-helical elements and three loops (D, anti-codon, and T loops). Further hydrogen bonds mediate the characteristic L-shaped molecular structure. tRNAs have two regions of fundamental functional importance: the anti-codon, which is responsible for specific mRNA codon recognition, and the 3' end, to which the tRNAs corresponding amino acid is attached (by aminoacyl-tRNA synthetases). tRNAs cope with the degeneracy of the genetic code in two manners: having more than one tRNA (with a specific anti-codon) for a particular amino acid; and 'wobble' base-pairing, i.e. permitting non-standard base-pairing at the 3rd anti-codon position. The record is from Rfam. NCBI's taxonomy places the organism in Eukaryota, Viridiplantae, Streptophyta, Magnoliopsida, Solanales, Convolvulaceae.